GAUGAAGAACGCAGCGAAAUGCGAUAAGUAGUGUGAAUUGCAGAAUUCAGUGAAUCAUCGAAUCUUUGAACGCACAUUGCGCCCCUUGGUAUUCCAUGGGGCAUGCCUGUUCGAGCGUCAUUUGUACCUUCAAGCUCUGCUUGGUGUUGGGUGUUUGUCUCGCCUCUGCGUGUAGACUCGCCUCAAAAUAAUUGGCAGCCGGCGUAUUGAUUUCGGAGCGCAGUACAUCUCGCGCUUUGCACUCAUAACGACGACGUCCAAAAGUACAUUUUUACACUCUUGACCUCGGAUCAGGUAGGGAUACCCGCUGAACUUAAGCAUAUCAAUAAGCUGAGGA
RNAcentral lists this unclassified non-coding RNA (337 nucleotides) under soil metagenome. Its description in RNAcentral is "partial contains 5.8S ribosomal RNA, internal transcribed spacer 2, and large subunit ribosomal RNA". The stretch from base 1 to 120 matches the Rfam family "5.8S ribosomal RNA", at positions 35 to 154 of the family's 154-position model. The record is from RNAcentral.